CAGGGUAUAGUUUAAAAAAAACAUCAGUUUUGGGAAUUGAAGAUGUCUGUUGUGACUAGCUUGA
RNAcentral lists this transfer RNA (64 nucleotides) under Paratapes textilis (textile venus clam). RNAcentral's name for it is "Paphia textile (textile venus clam) tRNA-Pro". The record is from RNAcentral. Lineage: Eukaryota; Metazoa; Mollusca; Bivalvia; Venerida; Veneridae.